RNAcentral lists this ribosomal RNA (465 nucleotides) under Vreelandella stevensii. RNAcentral describes it as "partial 16S ribosomal RNA". It matches the Rfam family "Bacterial small subunit ribosomal RNA", at positions 338 to 795 of the family's 1533-position model. Lineage: Bacteria; Pseudomonadati; Pseudomonadota; Gammaproteobacteria; Oceanospirillales; Halomonadaceae. The record is from RNAcentral.
CCUACGGGGGGCUGCAGUGGGGAAUAUUGGACAAUGGGGGGAACCCUGAUCCAGCCAUGCCGCGUGUGUGAAGAAGGCCCUCGGGUUGUAAAGCACUUUCAGUGAGGAAGAACGCCUGGUGGUUAAUACACAUCAGGAAAGACAUCACUCACAGAAGAAGCACCGGCUAACUCCGUGCCAGCAGCCGCGGUAAUACGGAGGGUGCGAGCGUUAAUCGGAAUUACUGGGCGUAAAGCGCGCGUAGGUGGCUUGAUAAGCCGGUUGUGAAAGCCCCGGGCUCAACCUGGGAACGGCAUCCGGAACUGUCAAGCUAGAGUGCAGGAGAGGAAGGUAGAAUUCCCGGUGUAGCGGUGAAAUGCGUAGAGAUCGGGAGGAAUACCAGUGGCGAAGGCGGCCUUCUGGACUGACACUGACACUGAGGUGCGAAAGCGUGGGUAGCAAACAGGAUUAGAUACCCGUGUAGUC